AUGAAGGCUAGGGUUUGGAAUUGGAGUGUUGGGGAAGAUGAAGUGGGUGUGUGUGUUGUUAGAUAUGAGAAAAGAGGGAAAAAUGGAGUUUUUGGGCUAAAAAUCACGUAUGGGGCCCACCAAAAAGGCCGGAUCCCCCGCCUCUUCCCCCGCGGUCACGGCAUGAACCGCGGUUGAAAACGCGGCUGGAAGCAGGGGAGGCC
This 203-nucleotide long non-coding RNA is filed under the name Salvia miltiorrhiza (redroot sage). Its description in RNAcentral is "long non-coding RNA (SMIL_LNC012724)". The record is from RNAcentral. Lineage: Eukaryota; Viridiplantae; Streptophyta; Magnoliopsida; Lamiales; Lamiaceae.